ACGAACGCUGGCGGCAGGCUUAACACAUGCAAGUCGAGCGCCCCGCAAGGGGAGCGGCAGACGGGUGAGUAACGCGUGGGAAUCUACCCUUUGCUACGGAAUAACGCAUGGAAACGUGUGCUAAUACCGUAUGUGUCCUUCGGGAGAAAGAUUUAUCGGCAAAGGAUGAGCCCGCGUUGGAUUAGCUAGUUGGUGGGGUAAAGGCCUACCAAGGCGACGAUCCAUAGCUG
This 230-nucleotide ribosomal RNA is filed under the name Rhizobium sp. ISO467_OTU202. Its description in RNAcentral is "partial 16S ribosomal RNA". It matches the Rfam family "Bacterial small subunit ribosomal RNA", at positions 29 to 289 of the family's 1533-position model. The record is from RNAcentral. RNAcentral also lists the same sequence under 1 other name. Lineage: Bacteria; Pseudomonadati; Pseudomonadota; Alphaproteobacteria; Hyphomicrobiales; Rhizobiaceae.